UACAGAGGUCUCAAGCGUUGUUCGGAAUUACUGGGCGUAAAGGGCGCGCAGGCCGCGCGGGCAGUCAAAUGUGUAAUUCAGGGGCUCAACCCCUGCACUGCGCUUGAUACUUCCGCGCUCGAGCUUUGGAGAGGAGUCUGGAAUUCUCGGUGUAGCAGUGAAAUGCGUGGAUAUCGAGAAGAACACUUAGGGCGAAGGCAAGACUCUGGACAAAUGCUGACGCUCAUGCACGAAGGCUAGGGUAGCGAACGGG
RNAcentral lists this ribosomal RNA (253 nucleotides) under uncultured bacterium. RNAcentral describes it as "partial 16S ribosomal RNA". It matches the Rfam family "Bacterial small subunit ribosomal RNA", at positions 524 to 776 of the family's 1533-position model. The record is from RNAcentral.